CAUGCGGAGGAAAAGAAACCAACAGGCAAUGCCUCAGUAGCGGCGAGUGAGCGGCAAGAGCUCAGAUUUGAAAUCGUGCUUGCGGCACGAGUUGUAGAUUGCAGGUUGGAGUCUGUGUGGAAGGCGGUGUCCAAGUCCCUUGGAACAGGGCGCCCAGGAGGGUGAGAGCCCCGUGGGAUGCCGGCGGAAGCAGUGAGGCCCUUCUGACGAGUCGAGUUGUUUGGGAAUGCAGCUCCAAGCGGGUGGUAAAUUCCAUCUAAGGCUAAAUACUGGCGAGAGACCGAUAGCGAACAAGUACUGUGAAGGAAAGAUGAAAAGCACUUUGAAAAGAGAGUGAAACAGCACGUGAAAUUGUUGAAAGGGAAGGGUAUUGCGCCCGACAUGGGGAUUGCGCACCGCUGCCUCUCGUGGGCGGCGCUCUGGGCUUUCCCUGGGCCAGCAUCGGUUCUUGCUGCAGGAGAAGGGGUUCUGGAACGUGGCUCUUCGGAGUGUUAUAGCCAGGGCCAGAUGCUGCGUGCGGGGACCGAGGACUGCGGCCGUGUAGGUCACGGAUGCGGCAAAAACCCCCACACCGCCCGUCAGAACAAAGGACACA
This 595-nucleotide ribosomal RNA is filed under the name Pichia kudriavzevii. RNAcentral's name for it is "eukaryotic LSU rRNA". It matches the Rfam family "Eukaryotic large subunit ribosomal RNA", at positions 47 to 669 of the family's 3401-position model. The record is from RNAcentral. Lineage: Eukaryota; Fungi; Ascomycota; Pichiomycetes; Pichiales; Pichiaceae.